UCCCUGGUGGUUCAGUGGUAAAGAAUCCGCCUGCAAUGUGGGAGACCCGGGUUCAAUCCCUCGCUUGGGAA
RNAcentral lists this transfer RNA (71 nucleotides) under Bos taurus (domestic cattle). It matches the Rfam family "tRNA". Rfam says of the family: Transfer RNA (tRNA) molecules are approximately 80 nucleotides in length. Their secondary structure includes four short double-helical elements and three loops (D, anti-codon, and T loops). The record is from Rfam by way of RNAcentral. RNAcentral also lists the same sequence under 1 other name. Lineage: Eukaryota; Metazoa; Chordata; Mammalia; Artiodactyla; Bovidae.